UAGCUAGUUGGUGAGGUAACGGCUUACCAAGGCGACGAUCUGUAGCGGGUCUGAGAGGAUGAUCCGCCACACUGGAACUGAGACACGGUCCAGACUCCUACGGGAGGCAGCAGUGGGGAAUUUUGGACAAUGGGGGCAACCCUGAUCCAGCCAUGCCGCGUGAGUGAAGAAGGCCUUCGGGUUGUAAAGCUCUUUCGGCCGGGAAGAAAUCGCAUGGGCCAAUACCCUGUGUGGAUGACGGUACCGGAAUAAGAAGCACCGGCUAACUACGUGCCAGCAGCCGCGGUAAUACGUAGGGUGCGAGCGUUAAUCGGAAUUACUGGGCGUAAAGCGUGCGCAGGCGGUUUUGUAAGACAGGCGUGAAAUCCCCGGGCUCAGCCUGGGAACUGCGUUUGUGACUGCAAGGCUAGAGUACGGCAGAGGGGGGUGGAAUUCCACGUGUAGCAGUGAAAUGCGUAGAGAUGUGGAGGAACACCAAUGGCGAAGGCAGCCCCCUGGGUCGAUACUGACGCUCAUGCACGAAAGCGUGGGUAGCAAACAGGAUUAGAUACCCUGGUAGUCCACGCCCUAAACUAUGUCAACUAGGUGUUGGGUGGGUAAAACCAUUUAGUACCGUAGCUAACGCGUGAAGUUGACCGCCUGGGGAGUACGGCCGCAAGGUUAAAACUCAAAGGAAUUGACGGGGACCCGCACAAGCGGUGGAUGAUGUGGAUUAAUUCGAUGCAACGCGAAAAACCUUACCUACCCUUGACAUGCCAGGAACUUGCCAGAGAUGGCUUGGUGCCCGAAAGGGAGCCUGGACACAGGUGCUGCAUGGCUGUCGUCAGCUCGUGUCGUGAGAUGUUGGGUUAAGUCCCGCAACGAGCGCAACCCUUGUCGUUAAUUGCCAUCAUUUAGUUGGGCACUUUAGCGAGACUGCCGGUGACAAACCGGAGGAAGGUGGGGAUGACGUCAAGUCCUCAUGGCCCUUAUGGGUAGGGCUUCACACGUCAUACAAUGGUCGGUACAAAGGGUCGCCAAGCCGCGAGGUGGAGCCAAUCCCAGAAAGCCGAUCGUAGUCCGGAUUGCAGGCUGCAACUCGCCUGCAUGAAGUCGGAAUCGCUAGUAAUCGUGGAUCAGCAUGUCACGGUGAAUACGUUCCCGGGUCUUGUACACACCGCCCGUCACACCAUGGGAGCGGGUUCCGCCAGAAGUAGGCAGCCUAACCGCAAGGAGGGCGCUUACCACGGCGGGGUUCGUGACUGGGGUGAAGUUGUAACAAGGUAGCCAUAGGGGAACCUGCGGCUG
RNAcentral lists this ribosomal RNA (1287 nucleotides) under metagenome. RNAcentral's name for it is "bacterial SSU rRNA". It matches the Rfam family "Bacterial small subunit ribosomal RNA", at positions 242 to 1520 of the family's 1533-position model. The record is from RNAcentral.